CUUUUAGGAAGUUAUAUAGGUAUUAUAUUUAGGAGGCAGCCACAUCUCAUGUCUUAAGGGAAAAAAAUCAAUAAUAGUUUUAGUUAGCAUGGAAAUGCUAAAGACAGCAGUCCUUUAGGGAUUAGGAAUGAAUCUAAUAGGUUUGAUUAACUCUGCUUCAUUUGGUUGUAUGAAGCAUUAGAAUGGCUUAGGUGAGAAAUGGAUUAGAAUUCAGUAUGAUGCA
Molecule: long non-coding RNA, 223 nt
Filed under: Bos taurus (domestic cattle)
Lineage: Eukaryota; Metazoa; Chordata; Mammalia; Artiodactyla; Bovidae
Description: long non-coding RNA NONBTAT000890
Source: RNAcentral